RNAcentral lists this ribosomal RNA (207 nucleotides) under uncultured bacterium. RNAcentral's name for it is "partial 16S ribosomal RNA". It matches the Rfam family "Bacterial small subunit ribosomal RNA", at positions 568 to 774 of the family's 1533-position model. The record is from RNAcentral.
CUCGUAGGUGGCCAACUAAGUCAGACGUGAAAUCCCUCGGCUUAACCGGGGAACUGCAUCUGAUACUGGAUGGCUUGAGUUUGGGAGAGGGACGCGGAAUUCCAGGUGUAGCGGUGAAAUGCGUAGAUAUCUGGAGGAACACCGGUGGCGAAGGCGGCGUCCUGGACCAACACUGACACUGAUGAGCGAAAGCCAGGGGAGCAAACG